This 309-nucleotide long non-coding RNA is filed under the name Phoenix dactylifera (date palm). Its description in RNAcentral is "long non-coding RNA (PDAC_LNC001392)". The record is from RNAcentral. Lineage: Eukaryota; Viridiplantae; Streptophyta; Magnoliopsida; Arecales; Arecaceae.
AUUUUUAGAACUACACAUUCAUUUGCAUGUAAAACUUUAUAGCUGGAUGUAUUUAAAAUCAAAAUUGCCAUUUGAAAUACAUAUGCAAAGUAUAAAUCUUAUUAAUAUAUAAUUUUUUCGAAAGAAAAUCAGUGCCAUGGUUUCAAUCUUGCACCUCCAUAAUGGCUUCCUCAAGCUCUUGCCAAGCCAUGAGUCUUGCUGGUAGCUCUCUGGAUUUCCGAGCUUGGUUCAUGUCCAACAUGUACCUAGCAAAAAUAAAAGUUGCUAUUUGUCGCCCACCACACGGCCCGCUUGGUGAUGGCAGCAAAG